RNAcentral lists this ribosomal RNA (117 nucleotides) under uncultured bacterium. RNAcentral's name for it is "partial 16S ribosomal RNA". It matches the Rfam family "Bacterial small subunit ribosomal RNA", at positions 1357 to 1482 of the family's 1533-position model. The record is from RNAcentral.
CUACGGUGAAUACGUUCCCGGACCUUGUACACACCGCCCGUCAAGCCAUGGAAGCUGGGUGUACCUAAAGUCGGUAACCGUAAGGAGCCGCCUAGGGUAAAACUGGUGACUGGGGCU